UACCAGCUCUCCGAGUGGUGUGGAUGUUCAUUGGGCCUAAAGCAUCCGUAGCUGGCCGGGCAAGUCCCCUGUUAAAUCCACCGAUUUAAUCGUUGGAGUGCGGGGGAUACUGUUCGGCUAGGGGACGGGAGAGGCAGACGGUAUUUUCGGGGUAGGGGUGAAAUCCUAUAAUCCCGGGAAGACCACCAGUGGCGAAGGCUGUCUGCUAGAACGCGCCCGACGGUGAGGGAUGAAAGCUGGGGGAGCGAACCGGAUUAGAUACCCGGGUAGUCCCAGCUGUAAACGAUGCAGGCUAGGUGUUUGGGCGGCCACGUGCCGCUCUAGUGCCGCAGGGAAGCCGUUAAGCCUGCCGCCUGGGGAGUACGGCCGCAAGGCUGAAACUUAAAGGAAUUGGCGGGGGAGCACCACAAGGGGUGAAGCUUGCGGUUU
Molecule: ribosomal RNA, 429 nt
Filed under: uncultured archaeon
Lineage: Archaea
Description: bacterial SSU rRNA
Rfam family: Archaeal small subunit ribosomal RNA
Source: RNAcentral